GAAUUCGCCCUUAGAGUUUGAUCCUGGCUCAGGACGAACGCUGGCGGCGCGCCUAACACAUGCAAGUCGAACGGAGUCAAGAGGAGCUUGCUUUUCUUGACUUAGUGGCGAACGGGUGAGUAACGCGUGAGUAACCUGCCCUGGAGUGGGGGACAACAGUUGGAAACGACUGCGAAUACCGCAUAAGCCCACGGAUCCGCAUGGAUCUGCGGGAAAAGGAUUUAUUCGCUUCAGGAUGGACUCGCGUCCAAUUAGCUAGUUGGUGAGGUAACGGCCCACCAAGGCGACGAUUGGUAGCCGGACUGAGAGGUUGAACGGCCACAUUGGGACUGAGACACGGCCCAGACUCCUACGGGAGGCAGCAGUGGGGGAUAUUGCACAAUGGGGGAAACCCUGAUGCAGCGACGCCGCGUGGAGGAAGAAGGUUUUCGGAUUGUAAACUCCUGUCGUUAGGGACGAUAAUGACGGUACCUAACAAGAAAGCACCGGCUAACUACGUGCCAGCAGCCGCGGUAAAACGUAGGGUGCAAGCGUUGUCCGGAAUUACUGGGUGUAAAGGGAGCGCAGGCGGACCGGCAAGUUGGAAGUGAAAACUAUGGGCUCAACCCAUAAAUUGCUUUCAAAACUGCUGGCCUUGAGUAGUGCAGAGGUAGGUGGAAUUCCCGGUGUAGCGGUGGAAUGCGUAGAUAUCGGGAGGAACACCAGUGGCGAAGGCGACCUACUGGGCACCAACUGACGCUGAGGCUCGAAAGCAUGGGUAGCAAACAGGAUUAGAUACCCUGGUAGUCCAUGCCGUAAACGA
Molecule: ribosomal RNA, 802 nt
Filed under: uncultured bacterium
Lineage: Bacteria
Description: bacterial SSU rRNA
Rfam family: Bacterial small subunit ribosomal RNA
Source: RNAcentral